AGCUUUUCCAAGCAUGAUGAGCCUCUCCUGGGACAGGUCCCUCCCGAAAAUAUGUCCAAGGCACGUGAGACGAAGUCUUGCCAUCCUUGCUUCUAAGACCAGCUUCUCAGAUUAUUUGCUCAGCAUACAGAUUGACUUCAACUUGAACGUGAAUAUGAGCAACUGAUCAUCUGUUCUGCAGUCAGCCCCUGGCCUGAUUCUGACUCAUGAUAUUGACCUUCUCCAUCAUCACCUUCCACAAAUUUGAUUCCUGUCUAUUCUGCCUGGAAUGGUUCACGAGUAUAGUCACCGUUUAUGUUCCUGAUGAAAGGUAUGUGCAAUGAAUAAGUCGUUGGUCUUGCCAAAUUCUAUCAUGUAAGCUUCAGUGUCAUUUCUAUCAUCAAUACCUUAUUUUCCAACUGCUGAUUUGUCUGCUUUGUUUUCAACUUCGCAUUCCAAUCACGUAAUUAUCAGUACAUCUUGAUUCAUCAAUGCAUCAUGUUUGAUCAGUUUCAAACUGCAGAACUUGGUAAAAACCUUCAACUUCUUCAUCUUUCACAUUCAUGAUUCAUGUGUAAAUUUGAAUAAUAGUCUUAUUAACUGGUCUUCCUGGUAGGCCUGUGGAUAUUAUCCUAUUGCUCGUAGUGUUGUACUUCAGAACGGAUCUUGAAAUGUUCUUUUUAUCGAUGAAUAUGAUGCCGUUCUCUUCAGUAUCUCAAUCCUGGUAUAGUAGAACAUACCAUUGUCUAGUUUAAAAUGUCCAAAACCAAGCUAUUUCAGCUCACUAAUGCCUUGGAUUACUGACCUUUAUGCAUUCCAUUUCAUUUUUGAUGACUUCCAAUUACCCUAGAUUCAUAAUUCCUUCAUUCCACGUUCUGGUUAUUAAUGGAUAUUUGUGUCAGUUUCUUCUCAUUAUGAGUUGUGCCCCAUCAGGAAAUGUCAUUAAAGUGGGAUCUACUUUGAGGAGGUAGCUCUUCCCCACUCGUAUUUUGAGUGCCUUCCAACCUAAGGGGUUAUCCUCUGUCAUUCAAUCAGACAGUGUUCCAGUACUAUUCGUAAGAUUUCACUGGCCAGUUUUUUUUUUUGAGAAAUAGAUCA
This is a long non-coding RNA of Loxodonta africana (African savanna elephant), 1077 nucleotides long. RefSeq lists it as uncharacterized. NCBI's taxonomy places the organism in Eukaryota, Metazoa, Chordata, Mammalia, Proboscidea, Elephantidae. The transcript has 3 exons. The record is from RefSeq and is a predicted model, not a curated record.